GGAUGGAUCAUUAGAGGUUGUUUUAAAAAAACAAGCACAGUGCCUUUUAAAAUUGUGAUCAAGCGGGUAGGGUUAGCGUAGCUAACUAGCCUUGCCUGUUUGUGUCACGACUCUUCGACUAUCGAGGAGUAUAAAAGACCCCUUUUUUAGUAGCGAUAAUCACACAGUUCAAUAUAACAGAAAAAAUACAACUCACUGCGGUGGAUGACUCGGCUAGUGUACCGAUGAAGAACGUAGCAAACUGCGAUAAGUGAUGGAAAUUGCAGAAUACUAUGACUCAUCGAAUCUUUGAAUGCAACCUGCGCCUAGCGGGAUCUCUCUCGCUAGGCGUGCUUGUUUGAGACCGGCUCUUAUAAAAUAUCUCAAUCCCCUUACGUGGGGGACGGAGGAAUAUGAGGGGACUAUUAUGAAAAUUUUUUUGGAUUAAUAACCCCUUUAAGAGCUUUCCCUACUAAAAAAAGAUAGGAGAAAGACCACGGUCGUGAGGGGUAAACCUUUACAGCCUGUCGGAACUUACCUUUCUUUCAAAAAAAAGGGAUAAAUGGAGUGAGGAUUUUUUUCCUCCACUCGAUUUCAUACUACCCGGCUCAAAUCAAGCACGGCUACCCGCUGAAUUUAAGCAUAUAAUUAGGCGGAGGAAAAGAAAUUAACAAAGAUUCCCUCAGUAAUGGCGAAUGAACAGGGAAAAGCCCAUCCUGAACCGUGAGGGACUAGUCUUCUUUACGGGGUGUAGGGUUUCGACUAGCUUAAGCGGGGAUUCUCCCUAGCUGAACUCGCCUGGAAAGGCGGACCAUAGAGGGUGACAGUCCCGUAGGCAUUUUAGGGAGAGCUCACGUUAGCUGGAUCGUAGAGUCGAGUUGCUUGGGAGUGCAACUCUAAUUAGGUGAUAAACUUCAUCUAAGGCUAAAUACGAACACUAGACCGAUAGCGAACAAGUACCGCGAGGGAAAGUUGAAAAGAACUCUGGAAAGAGAGUAAAAAGUACCUGAAACCGCAGUGAGGUAAGCGGCCGGCAUCGCAAAUUAGUGCGUGACUCAAAUCUCUCGGGUGUAGGGCUUGUAGGUAUAGAGAGUCCAUGCGUGGGUUCCUAAGCCAGUGAGUUCGAAGCCCGAGUGGUGGCACUUCGCGUACUACGUCACGAUCACUCUUAGGGGGGAGAAAAAGUAUGGGGACAGGUAGCUAACCUCGUGUUAGUGAAGGCCUUGUAUUUCGCUCCCUCUCAGGAGUGAGGACAAUAGAGAAAGGGGUCUUCUUGGUGAAGGAGGAUUACUUCGGUAGUCCCCGUAGCCUGAACCUUUCUCAGAUUGUGGCGUUUUUGUGGCAUCGACCGUCCCGUCUUGAAACACGGACCAAGGAGUGCAAAUUAUGUGCGAGUCUUAGGGUGUUUAAACCCAAGGGCGUAAUGAAAGUGAAGCAUCUGAACCUGAGGCAAACGAAGGUGCAAGGUGUGCCGGCAGCCUUUUACGAAGGGUUGUCCGAGUAAGAGCAUAUAUUUUGCGACCCGAAAGGUGGCGAACUAUGCCUGUGUAGGACGAAGCCAGAAGAAAUUCUGGUGGAGGUCCGUAGCGUUGUUGACGUGCAAAUCACUCGUCAAACAUGGGUAUAGCGGCGAAAGACCAAUCGAGCCGCCUAGUAGCUGGUUCCUCU
This 1647-nucleotide unclassified non-coding RNA is filed under the name uncultured fungus. Its description in RNAcentral is "sequence contains 18S rRNA gene, ITS1, 5.8S rRNA gene, ITS2, 28S rRNA gene". The stretch from base 583 to 1647 matches the Rfam family "Eukaryotic large subunit ribosomal RNA", at positions 1 to 961 of the family's 3401-position model. The record is from RNAcentral. Lineage: Eukaryota; Fungi.